CAGGUGGCAGGACAACUUGUCUUCCUACUGAACUCAUUAAAAGUGCUCUUCUCGAUGAAUCGUGAUUCCAGCUUGGAACUACCUCUAAAACCGUUUCACCGAGUGAUUUCGUCGUCCAUCAUCUUCCUUCUGCAUCACCUAGACGUCCGUGUGUGUCAUCGACAGCAUACUGGACAUAGCCAAUUGAACCGCCUAGAUGGUGGUGAAAAUGACGAGCAGUAACGGCGGAAGCCUGGCCGUCAUGGCCGGCUCGGAGGCCGGAAAUGGUAGCAGUAGUGUCGCCGAUGUUGACGGAACAGACGCCGCCGUCGAGGCUUGUUCUGGUGGACGCAUUGAAGACGAUAUUGCCGAUCAUUCUGACGACGAGCAAGGUGCCGAUGCCGCUUCAGAUGAUUCAGAUUCCAUGGAUUUCGACGACGAUGACGACGAUGACGGAUCAGAUCUCAUGUCCAAUACGACGCUCGGCGAUGACAUAACCGCCCAGCUCGCAGCCGCUGGUCCUGUUGGUAUGGCAGCGGCUGCAGCCAUAAACUCGUCCAAAAAGAGGAAGCGACCCCACUCGUUUGAAACGAAUCCAUCCAUACGUCGGAGGCAACAGACGAGGCUUUUACGUAAACUCCGCCAGACGAUUGACGAAUAUGCAACUCGAGUCGGACAACAAGCCAUCGUCUUGAUCGCUACACCGGGCAAACCGCAGAACAAUUUUCGCGUCUUUGGCGCCAAACCUUUAGAAGAUGUUGUUAAAAAUGUGAAAUCCACCGUUCUUCAGGAUCUGGAAACGGCUUUGGCGCAUCACGCUCCACCACCAGCUCUAGACGAUCCGUCUCUCUAUGAAUUACCUCCGCUAGUCAUCGACGGAAUCCCUACACCAGUCGAAAAAAUGACGCAAGCCCAAUUGCGAGCGUUUAUUCCGCUGAUGCUCAAGUUUUCCACCGGUCGAGGAAAACCUGGAUGGGGCAAAGAAUCCACUCGACCACCUUGGUGGCCAGGAGAAGUACCUUGGGCCAAUGUUCGAAUGGAUGCUCGCCCCGAAGACGAUAAGCAAAGAGUGUCGUGGACGCACGCGUUGCGGCAAAUUGUCAUCAAUUGCUACAAGUACCACGGACGGGAAGACCUGCUGCCCGCCUUCUCUGAAGAUGCAACGGAGGAAACUAGUCGCCCUGCAAAAGUGAUAAAAACCGAAUCGGAAGCUGAACAACAAGCCGAACGGAGCGCUGAUGUUGUUGCUCAACCACAACAGCAGCAAGAGCAACAGCAACACCAGCAACAACAUCCACCAGCUCCACCACCAUCGUCUCAGCCAGCUCAACAUCAGCAGCAGCAGCAGCAACAACAACAACAACAACAGCAACAGCAACAGCAGCAGCAGCAAUCUGUGCAGCAGUUGGUGCAGACGAAUUCGGCACCCAGUGCCCAGUACGCACCGACUGUCGUUCAAACGAUCAGCAAUCCUGACGGGACAGUGUCCAUCAUACAGGUCGAUCCUCAUUCAUUCACUAAUUCAUUCUUCCAGGUGGAUCCCAACAAUCCGAUCAUCACGCUACCGGACGGAACAACGGCCCAAGUGGUUGCCACCCAGGGAGUGUCCACCGUUAACCAGUGCGACGACGACGAUGGUGCCAACCACGAUCAGCAGCAACAGCAUCAGAAUGACCGCAACCAUCACCUCAUGAACUCGAAACCGAUGAUUUGGCAGUUCGUCCCCACUUCGCAGAUCACGGGUGUCACGUCUUCAGAUGGCGUGACGACGCUCACCAAUUCCGCCGACGGCACGACAGUCACCACUGUCGACUUGUCGGCCGUGACCGAAUCCACCAUCGGCCAAGAAGGCCAGCACCACAUCCUUCUCACGGGUGAAGAUGGCCAAACGUAUCCGGUCAGUGUCUCAGGAAUGAUCACCGUUCCCGCCAUGUAUCAGGCUAUGGUUGCCAACAUCGCACAGAUGGGUCAAUCAGAUGCUUCUGUUCAGAUUCUAAUGGAGGAGAUGAUGGAGCCUUGGUGUCGACAACAUCAACAGCUGGGACAGCAACCGGGGGAAUGAACGUUGGAGGAUUGGCCGUCACCCCCGUCCUAGCGCUAGGGCCGAACGGGACGCAGCAACACAUUCUCCAGGUGACGGCCGCGCCCAUGGUGACUUCACAGCUUCUCGGUGAGGUCGACUCGUCCAUUUUGGCAUCGGCCAUGCAACAAGUGACGUCUGGCGAUGUGGUAGACCUUCAGGAAACUUCGCCCUCUUCCAAUUCCGAGUAGAAGGC
RNAcentral lists this unclassified non-coding RNA (2255 nucleotides) under Daphnia magna. RNAcentral describes it as "dNA-binding protein P3A2, transcript variant X6". Lineage: Eukaryota; Metazoa; Arthropoda; Branchiopoda; Diplostraca; Daphniidae. The record is from RNAcentral.